CGCCCUUAGAGUUUGAUCAUGGCUCAGGAUGAACGCUGGCGGCGUGCUUAACACAUGCAAGUCGAACGGGAGCAGAUUUAGAUUGUUCUAGUGGCGGACGGGUGAGUAACGCGUGGGUAACCUGCCUUGUACAGGGGGAUAACAGUCAGAAAUGACUGCUAAUACCGCAUAAGCGCACAGCUGCAUGGCCGGUGUGAAAAACUCCGGUGGUAUAAGAUGGACCCGCGUUGGAUUAGCUAGUUGGUGAGGUAACGGCCCACCAAGGCGACGAUCCAUAGCCGGCCUGAGAGGGUGAACGGCCACAUUGGGACUGAGACACGGCCCAGACUCCUACGGGAGGCAGCAGUGGGGAAUAUUGCACAAUGGGGGAAACCCUGAUGCAGCGACGCCGCGUGAAGGAAGAAGUAUUUCGGUAUGUAAACUUCUAUCAGCAGGGAAGAAAAUGACGGUACCUGACUAAGAAGCCCCGGCUAACUACGUGCCAGCAGCCGCGGUAAUACGUAGGGGCAAGCGUUAUCCGGAUUUACUGGGUGUAAAGGGAGC
RNAcentral lists this ribosomal RNA (543 nucleotides) under uncultured Lachnospiraceae bacterium. Its description in RNAcentral is "bacterial SSU rRNA". It matches the Rfam family "Bacterial small subunit ribosomal RNA", at positions 1 to 570 of the family's 1533-position model. Lineage: Bacteria; Bacillati; Bacillota; Clostridia; Lachnospirales; Lachnospiraceae. The record is from RNAcentral.